RNAcentral lists this long non-coding RNA (397 nucleotides) under Nicotiana tabacum (common tobacco). RNAcentral describes it as "long non-coding RNA (NTAB_LNC006534)". The record is from RNAcentral. Lineage: Eukaryota; Viridiplantae; Streptophyta; Magnoliopsida; Solanales; Solanaceae.
AAAAGUUCAACGGCGAGUAGCCUGAUGUAAAAAGUAUUUCGUAAGUCAUGCAAGGUUCGAGAAAAAAUCGCAUCCAAAUAAUAUGAUAUAGACAAUCUAAUAUAAUGCAAGUAGAUGCUUUUACAAUUCGAAUUUGUGAUUUAUAGAUCACACGAAAAUAAGUUUCCUGUUAGUUUCGAGGCUCCCUCUUAGAGAGACCUCCUCGGAUAGGGUGUUGUCUGUAAUAGCCAAAAUCCUGUGGAAGACAGAGGAAGGAUAAGGAAGUGACAAGAAAACCAUGCAGUUCUGGGAAAAGACAUACCUAACAUAAACCCAUGAUACGAUGUUGUGGGACUGCCACGUCAUCCUUGACAAAAUUUUGAUUCUUGAAUAGUUGGGGAGGGGCUAAUUAUGGUGA